GACGAACGCUGGCGGCGUGCUUAACACAUGCAAGUCGAACGGAAAGGCCCUGCUUUUGUGGGGUGCUCGAGUGGCGAACGGGUGAGUAACACGUGAGUAACCUGCCCUUGACUUUGGGAUAACUUCAGGAAACUGGGGCUAAUACCGGAUAGGAGCUCCUGCUGCAUGGUGGGGGUUGGAAAGUUUCGGCGGUUGGGGAUGGACUCGCGGCUUAUCAGCUUGUUGGUGGGGUAGUGGCUUACCAAGGCUUUGACGGGUAGCCGGCCUGAGAGGGUGACCGGCCACAUUGGGACUGAGAUACGGCCCAGACUCCUACGGGAGGCAGCAGUGGGGAAUAUUGCACAAUGGGCGGAAGCCUGAUGCUGCAACGCCGCGUGCGGGAUGACGGCCUUCGGGUUGUAAACCGCUUUCGCCUGUGACGAAGCGUGAGUGACGAUAAUGGGUAAAGAAGCACCGGCUAACUACGUG
Molecule: ribosomal RNA, 468 nt
Filed under: uncultured bacterium
Lineage: Bacteria
Description: partial 16S ribosomal RNA
Rfam family: Bacterial small subunit ribosomal RNA
Source: RNAcentral